AACGAACGCUGGCGGCAUGCCUAACACAUGCAAGUCGAACGAGAUCUUCGGGUCUAGUGGCGCACGGGUGCGUAACGCGUGGGAAUCUGCCCUUUGGUUCGGAAUAACAGCUGGAAACGACUGCUAAUACCGGAUGAUGACGAAAGUCCAAAGAUUUAUCGCCAGAGGAUGAGCCCGCGUAGGAUUAGCUAGUUGGUGGGGUAAAGGCGCACCAAGGCGACGAUCCUUAGCUGGUCUGAGAGGAUGAUCAGCCACACUGGGACUGAGACACGGCCCAGACUCCUACGGGAGGCAGCAGUGAGGAAUAUUGAACAAUGGGCGAAAGCCUGAGCCAGCAAUGCCGCGUGAGUGAUGAAGGCCUUAGGGUUGUAAAGCUCUUUUACCCGGGAUGAUAAUGACAGUACGGGGAGAAUAAGCUCCGGCUAACUCCGUGCCAGCCGCCGCGGUAA
RNAcentral lists this ribosomal RNA (449 nucleotides) under uncultured bacterium. Its description in RNAcentral is "partial 16S ribosomal RNA". It matches the Rfam family "Bacterial small subunit ribosomal RNA", at positions 29 to 523 of the family's 1533-position model. The record is from RNAcentral.